This 1002-nucleotide long non-coding RNA is filed under the name Anas platyrhynchos platyrhynchos (common mallard). Its description in RNAcentral is "lncRNA (ENSAPLG00000019096.1)". Lineage: Eukaryota; Metazoa; Chordata; Aves; Anseriformes; Anatidae. The record is from RNAcentral.
GCUCCAUGGUCUUGCUGGGCACAGAAGUGAGACUGACUGGCCUGUACCUCCUCAGGUCUUCCCUUUAAAAAUGGGGGUUAUGUUUCCCCUUUUUUUCAGUCAGUGGGAACUUCACAAGACUGACGUGACUUCUCAGAUACGAUGGAUAGCGGCUUAGCAACUUCAUCUGCCAGUUCUCAGGACCCUCAGAUGUGUCUCAUCAGGUUCCAUGGAAUUCUGCACGUUAGGUUCCUUAGAUGGUUUCAAAGAUGUUCUUUUCCUACAGUGGGUGGUUCUUCUGUCUCCCAGUCCCUUCCUUUGCCUUUUGCAACUUGGGCUGUGUGGCUAGAGCAUUUGUGAAGACUAAGGCAAAAAAAAGCCAUUGAGUAGCUCAGCCUUCUACAUAUCCUAGGAAACAAGAUCUUCCAUUUCCUUCUCGAGAAGGCCCACUUUUUUCCUAGUGUUCCUUUUAUCACUGACAUACUUACAGAAGCCUUUCUUGUUGACUUUGGCAUUUCUGGACAGUUUUAAUUCUAUUUUGAUGGCUUUAGCUUUCCUAACCUGAUCCCUGGCUGUUUGAAAAAUUUCUCUGUAUUUCUCCCAAGCGACCCUUCUUUUCUGUGUUUGACUUUGUCCAGGAUCUCCUUAUUCAUCAGUGCAGGCUUCAUGGCAUUUUUUUUUUUUUAGGAUGCAUUGCUCUUGAGCUUGGAUGAGGUGAUCCAUGAAUAUUAACUACCUGUCUUCUUCCAGCAAGGGGAAAUGCCAGCUGUUGAAGAACUGGAUUCUGGGGUGAAGUCAGAUUGUUGGUGUAAUACUGUCUGUAAUUUCUUGGCAGUGCUCUGUCUUUCACACACUGUGAUUCAAAGGGCAGCGAAGGAAAGAAGGCAGUGGAGGCUGGGUGAAUCGCUGGCAUGGAGUAGAGAAGCUUCAACCUCCAGCCUCCUGCAAAGAUGUCUGUGUCCAUUCCUAAGAGUACAGAUAAAUCCCUUAAAGAAAUCUCUAUACACACAAAAUAUCUCUUAA